This 1470-nucleotide ribosomal RNA is filed under the name metagenome. RNAcentral describes it as "bacterial SSU rRNA". It matches the Rfam family "Bacterial small subunit ribosomal RNA". The record is from RNAcentral.
GCGGCAGGCCUAACACAUGCAAGUCGAACGGUAACAGGAAGAAGCUUGCUUCUUUGCUGACGAGUGGCGGACGGGUGAGUAAUGUCUGGGAAACUGCCUGAUGGAGGGGGAUAACUACUGGAAACGGUAGCUAAUACCGCAUAACGUCGCAAGACCAAAGAGGGGGACCUUCGGGCCUCUUGCCAUCGGAUGUGCCCAGAUGGGAUUAGCUAGUAGGUGGGGUAACGGCUCACCUAGGCGACGAUCCCAAGCUGGUCUGAGAGGAUGACCAGCCACACUGGAACUGAGACACGGUCCAGACUCCUACGGGAGGCAGCAGUGGGGAAUAUUGCACAAUGGGCGCAAGCCUGAUGCAGCCAUGCCGCGUGUAUGAAGAAGGCCUUCGGGUUGUAAAGUACUUUCAGCGGGGAGGAAGGGAGUAAAGUUAAUACCUUUGCUCAUUGACGUUACCCGCAGAAGAAGCACCGGCUAACUCCGUGCCAGCAGCCGCGGUAAUACGGAGGGUGCAAGCGUUAAUCGGAAUUACUGGGCGUAAAGCGCACGCAGGCGGUUUGUUAAGUCAGAUGUGAAAUCCCCGGGCUCAACCUGGGAACUGCAUCUGAUACUGGCAAGCUUGAGUCUCGUAGAGGGGGGGUAGAAUUCCAGGUGUAGCGGUGAAAUGCGUAGAGACCUGGAGGAAUACCGGUGGCGAAGGCGGCCCCCUGGACGAAGACUGACGCUCAGGUGCGAAAGCGUGGGGAGCAAACAGGAUUAGAUACCCUGGUAGUCCACGCCGUAAACGAUGUCGACUUGGAGGUUGUGCCCUUGAGGCGUGGCUUCCGGAGCUAACGCGUUAAGUCGACCGCCUGGGGAGUACGGCCGCAAGGUUAAAACUCAAAUGAAUUGACGGGGGCCCGCACAAGCGGUGGAGCAUGUGGUUUAAUUCGAUGCAACGCGAAGAACCUUACCUGGUCUUGACAUCCACGGAAGUUUUCAGAGAUGAGAAUGUGCCUUCGGGAACCGUGAGACAGGUGCUGCAUGGCUGUCGUCAGCUCGUGUUGUGAAAUGUUGGGUUAAGUCCCGCAACGAGCGCAACCCUUAUCCUUUGUUGCCAGCGGUCCGGCCGGGAACUCAAAGGAGACUGCCAGUGAUAAACUGGAGGAAGGUGGGGAUGACGUCAAGUCAUCAUGACCCUUACGACCAGGGCUACACACGUGCUACAAUGGCGCAUACAAAGAGAAGCGACCUCGCGAGAGCAAGCGGACCUCAUAAAGUGCGUCGUAGUCCGGAUUGGAGUCUGCAACUCGACUCCAUGAAGUCGGAAUCGCUAGUAAUCGUGGAUCAGAAUGCCACGGUGAAUACGUUCCCGGGCCUUGUACACACCGCCCGUCACACCAUGGGAGUGGGUUGCAAAAGAAGUAGGUAGCUUAACCUUCGGGAGGGCGCUUACCACUUUGUGAUUCAUGACUGGGGUGAAGUCGAAACAAGGUA